AACGAACGCUGGCGGCGCGCCUAAUACAUGCAAGUCGAGCGAGAAGACGUAGCAAUACGUUUGUAAAGCGGCGAACGGGUGAGGAAUACAUGGGUAACCUACCCUAGAGUGGGGAAUAACUAGCCGAAAGGUUAGCUAAUACCGCGUACGCUCCUUGGACUUCGGUUCAGGGAGGAAAGCGAUACCGUGGGUAUUGCGCUCUUGGAUGGGCUCAUGUCCUAUCAGCUUGUUGGUGAGGAACGGCUCACCAAGGCUUCGACGGGUAGCUGGUCUGAGAGGACGAUCAGCCACACUGGCACUGCGACACGGGCCAGACUCCUACGGGAGGCAGCAGUAAGGAAUAUUGCGCAAUGGGCGAAAGCCUGACGCAGCGACGCCGCGUGGGGGA
Molecule: ribosomal RNA, 388 nt
Filed under: uncultured bacterium
Lineage: Bacteria
Description: bacterial SSU rRNA
Rfam family: Bacterial small subunit ribosomal RNA
Source: RNAcentral